GAAAAAGUGAGAGUAGUGUUGAGCGAUAUUUCACUACCGCUGAUUUAGUCGCUAAUAUUUGAAAAUCACUGUCACUAGCGGCGACUUAACGACAGCUGCCAGUGAUUUUAACAGCGACCGAUCUAGCGCGCAUGUAUAGUAUUCUCAACUCUCUGAAGCGGCUUUCAGUGACAUGUGGUAGCGACCAGCGAGUAGCUGAUAGCGGUCAGCUAACCAGCUAUUCAAUAGCGAUUGAUCUAACGCGCGUGUACUGUAUUUAGCUCCAUGAAGCGGCUCCCGACGACAUCUGACAGAUAGAGCUUUUCGCUAGAUGCUAGGGAUUAGCGGCUAUUCUAGCUACUGCAGCCUUCAGUAAGCUUAUAUUACAUGCCAUUUGCUACUGGAAAAAAAUUACAUGUCAUUGCUGUUGCAGUAUCUAGGUUAAAUUACACUUUUUACACGCCAUUGCUUACAUUACACGCCAUCGCUACUGCCGCCUGCAGUAUCUGGUUAAAUUGCGUGGAAAAAAUUAUUAAUGAUUCCACUAUCAAAAUCUCUAAACUAAAAUUAAAGAUUAAAACCUAUCAAGAAAGAGAUACA
This 579-nucleotide long non-coding RNA is filed under the name Androctonus crassicauda. The record is from RNAcentral. Lineage: Eukaryota; Metazoa; Arthropoda; Arachnida; Scorpiones; Buthidae.